GGGACCUGGGUUCAAUUCCCAGCCAAUGCACUUAAGGCAUGGUUGCCACCCAUCUCUCACUGGAGGCUUGUGUGUUGCUGU
This 81-nucleotide microRNA precursor is filed under the name Procavia capensis (Cape rock hyrax). RNAcentral's name for it is "miRNA (ENSPCAG00000020295.1)". Lineage: Eukaryota; Metazoa; Chordata; Mammalia; Hyracoidea; Procaviidae. The record is from RNAcentral.